This 406-nucleotide ribosomal RNA is filed under the name uncultured bacterium. Its description in RNAcentral is "partial 16S ribosomal RNA". It matches the Rfam family "Bacterial small subunit ribosomal RNA", at positions 30 to 526 of the family's 1533-position model. The record is from RNAcentral.
AUUGAACGCUGGCGGCAGGCCUAACACAUGCAAGUCGAACGAGUGGCGGACGGGUGAGUAAUGUCUGGGAAACUGCCUGAUGGAGGGGGAUAACUACUGGAAACGGUAGCUAAUACCGCAUACCAUCGGAUGUGCCCAUAUGGGAUUAGCUAGUAGGUGGGGUAAAGGCUCACCUAGGCGACGAUCCCUCGCUGGUCUGAGAGGAUGACCAGCCACACUGGACCUGAGACACGGUCCAGACUCCUACGGGAGGCAGCAGUGGGGAAUAUUGCACAAUGGGCGCAAGCCUGAUGCAGCCAUGCCGCGUGUAUGAAGAAGGCCUUCGGGUUGUAAAGUACUUUCAGCGGGGAGGCGUUACCGGCAGAAGAAGCACCGGCUAACUCCGUGCCAGCCGCCGCGGUAAUUC